ACACAUGCAAGUCGAGCGGUAGCACAGAGAGCUUGCUCUCGGGUGACGAGCGGCGGACGGGUGAGUAAUGUCUGGGAAACUGCCUGAUGGAGGGGGAUAACUACUGGAAACGGUAGCUAAUACCGCAUAAUGUCGCAAGACCAAAGUGGGGGACCUUCGGGCCUCAUGCCAUCAGAUGUGCCCAGAUGGGAUUAGCUAGUAGGUGGGGUAACGGCUCACCUAGGCGACGAUCCCUAGCUGGUCUGAGAGGAUGACCAGCCACACUGGAACUGAGACACGGUCCAGACUCCUACGGGAGGCAGCAGUGGGGAAUAUUGCACAAUGGGCGCAAGCCUGAUGCAGCCAUGCCGCGUGUGUGAAGAAGGCCUUCGGGUUGUAAAGCACUUUCAGCGGGGAGGAAGGCGGUGAGGUUAAUAACCUUGUCGAUUGACGUUACCCGCAGAAGAAGCACCGGCUAACUCCGUGCCAGCAGCCGCGGUAAUACGGAGGGUGCAAGCGUUAAUCGGAAUUACUGGGCGUAAAGCGCACGCAGGCGGUCUGUCAAGUCGGAUGUGAAAUCCCCGGGCUCAACCUGGGAACUGCAUUCGAAACUGGCAGGCUAGAGUCUUGUAGAGGGGGGUAGAAUUCCAGGUGUAGCGGUGAAAUGCGUAGAGAUCUGGAGGAAUACCGGUGGCGAAGGCGGCCCCCUGGACAAAGACUGACGCUCAGGUGCGAAAGCGUGGGGAGCAAACAGGAUUAGAUACCCUGGUAGUCCACGCCGUAAACGAUGUCGAUUUGGAGGUUGUGCCCUUGAGGCGUGGCUUCCGGAGCUAACGCGUUAAAUCGACCGCCUGGGGAGUACGGCCGCAAGGUUAAAACUCAAAUGAAUUGACGGGGGCCCGCACAAGCGGUGGAGCAUGUGGUUUAAUUCGAUGCAACGCGAAGAACCUUACCUGGUCUUGACAUCCACAGAACUUUCCAGAGAUGGAUUGGUGCCUUCGGGAACUGUGAGACAGGUGCUGCAUGGCUGUCGUCAGCUCGUGUUGUGAAAUGUUGGGUUAAGUCCCGCAACGAGCGCAACCCUUAUCCUUUGUUGCCAGCGGUUAGGCCGGGAACUCAAAGGAGACUGCCAGUGAUAAACUGGAGGAAGGUGGGGAUGACGUCAAGUCAUCAUGGCCCUUACGACCAGGGCUACACACGUGCUACAAUGGCAUAUACAAAGAGAAGCGACCUCGCGAGAGCAAGCGGACCUCAUAAAGUAUGUCGUAGUCCGGAUUGGAGUCUGCAACUCGACUCCAUGAAGUCGGAAUCGCUAGUAAUCGUAGAUCAGAAUGCUACGGUGAAUACGUUCCCGGGCCUUGUACACACCGCCCGUCACACCAUGGGAGUGGGUUGCAAAAGAAGUAGGUAGCUUAACCUUCGGGAG
RNAcentral lists this ribosomal RNA (1405 nucleotides) under Klebsiella sp. 093101. RNAcentral describes it as "16S ribosomal RNA". It matches the Rfam family "Bacterial small subunit ribosomal RNA". The record is from RNAcentral. Lineage: Bacteria; Pseudomonadati; Pseudomonadota; Gammaproteobacteria; Enterobacterales; Enterobacteriaceae.